RNAcentral lists this long non-coding RNA (285 nucleotides) under Brassica napus (rape). Its description in RNAcentral is "long non-coding RNA (BNAP_LNC018247)". The record is from RNAcentral. Lineage: Eukaryota; Viridiplantae; Streptophyta; Magnoliopsida; Brassicales; Brassicaceae.
GAUUCAUUAAGUUUAUAUUAUAUUUUAUUUUAUUUCGAUGUUUUUAAACUAAAAUAAGAUAAACUUGUUUUCCAUUGUUAUUUUGAAAUGUUGAGUAAGAAAGCAUAAUUGAUAUUAAGCAAUUAAUUACAGAACAACCAAAAUAUCAAAAUAUGUGGAUUUAAGCUUAAUAAAUUAACUAGAUAAGAACUUAGGCAUUAUAUAUUGAUAUGUGGGCAUUGAAUAGAAUCAUUUUUAUUUACAUAAACGUACAUAAUCAUAAUCAUAAGUUUUAAUUUUAUUAUC